This is an RNA transcript of Triticum aestivum (bread wheat), 1122 nucleotides long. RefSeq lists it as uncharacterized. The transcript has 2 exons. Lineage: Eukaryota; Viridiplantae; Streptophyta; Magnoliopsida; Poales; Poaceae. The record is from RefSeq and is a predicted model, not a curated record.
UCCAUCCCAAGCUUCAACAUCCACACGAGUCCUUCUUCUCUCAAACAAAAACAAAUCCAGCGACGAUGUCUGGGCGCGGCAAGGGCGGCAAGGGGCUGGGAAAGGGCGGCGCCAAGCGCCACCGGAAGGUCCUCCGCGACAACAUCCAGGGCAUCACCAAGCCGGCGAUCCGGAGGCUGGCCAGGAGGGGCGGCGUGAAGCGCAUCUCCGGCCUCAUCUACGAGGAGACCCGCGGCGUCCUCAAGAUCUUCCUCGAGAACGUCAUACGCGACGCCGUCACCUACACGGAGCACGCCCGCCGCAAGACCGUCACCGCCAUGGACGUCGUCUAUGCCCUCAAGCGCCAGGGCCUCAAGCAGCCCACAUUUCUCUCUAAAAAAAAAGCUUAUGCCCCCACCUCCGCCACGUCACCGAUCCGCACCACCAGCCUCCCACCGCAUCCCACCUUCCGAUCGCAAUCCAACGGCCGAACUCCAGCAUCCCACGGAUCGACCCAGCAGAGAGCAGAGACCUCCCGCCUCCAACUCCCGAAAAUUUCGGGGCUUCCCUCGCAACCCCACCCCAUAUAAAGCCGUCACCUCCGAUUCCCCAAUCCAUCCCAAGCUUCAACAUCCACACGAGUCCUUCUUCUCUCAAACAAAAACAAAUCCAGACACGAUGUCUGGGCGCGGCAAGGGCGGCAAGGGGCUGGGAAAGGGCGGCGCCAAGCGCCACCGGAAGGUCCUCCGCGACAACAUCCAGGGCAUCACCAAGCCGGCGAUCCGGAGGCUGGCCAGGAGGGGCGGCGUGAAGCGCAUCUCCGGCCUCAUCUACGAGGAGACCCGCGGCGUCCUCAAGAUCUUCCUCGAGAACGUCAUACGCGACGCCGUCACCUACACCGAGCACGCCCGCCGCAAGACCGUCACCGCCAUGGACGUCGUCUACGCGCUCAAGCGCCAGGGCCGCACCCUCUACGGCUUCGGAGGCUAGAUCUGCAGUGGAGCAACUUCCUCGUUUGCUCUGUGUGAUAUGUGCUGUGCUGGAUGGAUUUACCGAUCUGGUGUGCGUCGUUGUAUUCUGUCUUUGGGUUGAGUAGGCUGUGUAAUACCUUGUUCUGUUCAAUGCAAUCAGUUCGAUUCUGAA